CCUACGGGUGGCAGCAGUGAGGAAUAUUGGUCAAUGGACGAGAGUCUGAACCAGCCAAGUAGCGUGAAGGAUGACUGCCCUAUGGGUUGUAAACUUCUUUUAUAUGGGAAUAAAAUGUUCCACGUGUGGGCUUUUGUAUGUACCCUAUGAAUAAGGAUCGGCUAACUCCGUGCCAGCAGCCGCGGUAACACGGAGGAUCCGAGCGUUAUCCGGAUUUAUUGGGUUUAAGGGGAGCGUAGGUGGAUUGUUAAGUCAGUUGUGAAAGUUUGCGGCUCAACCGUAAAAUUGCAGUUGAAACUGGCAGUCUUGAGUACAGUAGAGGUGGGCGGAAUUCGUGGUGUAGCGGUGAAAUGCUUAGAUAUCACGAAGAACUCCGAUUGCGAAGGCAGCUCACUGGACUGCAACUGACACUGAGGCUCGAAAGUGUGGGUAUCAAACGGGAUUAGAUACCCUAGUAGUC
Molecule: ribosomal RNA, 460 nt
Filed under: uncultured bacterium
Lineage: Bacteria
Description: partial 16S ribosomal RNA
Rfam family: Bacterial small subunit ribosomal RNA
Source: RNAcentral